CCUACGGGAGGCAGCAGUGGGGAAUCUUGCACAAUGGAGGAAACUCUGAUGCAGCGAUGCCGCAUGAGUGAAGAAGGCCUUUGGGUUGUAAAGCUCUUUUGUAGGGGAAGAUAAUGACUGUACCCUAAGAAUAAGGUCCGGCUAACUUCGUGCCAGCAGCCGCGGUAAUACGAAGGGACCUAGCGUAGUUCGGAAUUACUGGGCGUAAAGCGCGCGUAGGCCGUUGAGUUAGUUAAUUGUGAAAUCCCAAAGCUUAACUUUGGAACUGCAAUUAAAACUGCUCGACUAGAGUUUGAUAGAGGAAAGCGGAAUACAUAGUGUAGAGGUGAAAUUCGUAGAUAUUAUGUAGAACACCAGUUGCGAAGGCGGCUUUCUGGAUCAACACUGACGCUGAGGCGCGAAAGUAUGGGUAGCAAAGAGGAUUAGAUACCCUCGUAGUCCAUACCAUAAACGAUGAUUGCUAGAUGUUGGAAAUUUAUUUUCAGUAUCGCAGCUAACGCAUUAAGCAAUCCGCCUGGGGAGUACGACCGCAAGGUUAAAACUCAAAUGAAUUGACGG
This 558-nucleotide ribosomal RNA is filed under the name uncultured bacterium. RNAcentral describes it as "bacterial SSU rRNA". It matches the Rfam family "Bacterial small subunit ribosomal RNA", at positions 338 to 916 of the family's 1533-position model. The record is from RNAcentral.